This 1153-nucleotide long non-coding RNA is filed under the name Androctonus crassicauda. Lineage: Eukaryota; Metazoa; Arthropoda; Arachnida; Scorpiones; Buthidae. The record is from RNAcentral.
AUGUGUUAGGAUCUCUUUGUGUUCCAGGCUUUUUGCAUAUCUAAAACUCUAUAAGCAACCAGUGACUGCUUGCUUGAUUUGGAAAGAUAUUUCAUUCCAUACUGAAAGUUUCUUUCCAUUUACUCUGUGGAAAAGAAACUUCAGCACGGUAUUGAGCUAUGAUAAAAGGUUAUUCAUAUGUUUUGAGUUCCUCGAAGAAAUUGAUAGAUAAAUUAUUCAAAAAAGGACCGUUAUCCAGAAGAGACUGAUGGUGAUUUGAUUUUAAAUCAUUAUUACUGAACUAUGCCAUGAACUAUGAUACAGACUUCUGUAUCAUAAUUCAUGGCCUUUUUUCUUGUUUUAUAGGUAAACUCUAGGAAUAUACAUAGGCAGUCCUUUGGCCAAAGUUCUAGCUGAACUUAUAGUUAAGAGGAAAGAGAAGAGUCCUUCCACAUUUCAGUUCUUAUUUUAAAUUAUUUUCAUGUAUGUUGAUAUCAUCAUAGUUUUGUGGGAUAGCCCAGGUAGUGAUCAGUAGCUGUUAGCUAGCCUCUCUGACCAAAGUUUAAUCCUAGAGCUGGAACUCAAAUGAUCUGAUCCAUCUACUAUGCACUUCCUUGAUGUGAGAAUUUCCAUUCUUAAUGAGGAAUAUCUUUUCUUUAUUGCAAACCAGCAUACUCUGAUAUUUAUCCCAGCCUGUUCCAUACCCAUGACUUUAUCAAAACGGCAUUCAGUUCCCUAUUUAAGAGAAUGUUUACUUGUUUUUCAUCAAGAAGCUAGAUUUGCAGAAAUUGGGACUAUUCUUAGGCAAGAUUUGCAGAACAGGUAUGGCUCUAGUUCUUUUAUGAAUUUAUAAAAAUAUAAAACAGUUUUGUCAGAGACAUGCACUCUUCAACUUAAGCUUGUAUACAAACAGAAGGUUAUUAAUCCCAUCACCAAUAGGCUAAAAACAUUUUUAGAACAACAUGCCAGCUGUUUGAUAGCUCUAAGAAGUAGCAGCAGUUUUCAACUUCAUACAAAGUAAUAAGGUUGGGAAGUAUAUCAAGGAGUAUGAGGCAUCAUACUUCAAUAAUAAUCUUAGGAGGAAGAGUGCUAUAUUGGUUUUACUUGUAGGCCUAUAGAGAAGAGGGUUAAAGAACAUAUAAACACUGUGUAAAGUUGAAAUGGAGACUGCUUU